GGAUCCAUGGCUAAAAUCUGCGAUCGAAACGAUAUUUGAAUUCCUACCCGGAGUGCUAAUUCGUUUUGCCGGAUGAAAUUUGCAACAACGAAAUUAGAAGGCUACCGGGGGCAAUUUGGAAGAAUGAUGCGGAAGCUAGCUUAGAACCGAAAGCUCUGAUACCAUGACAGAAAAUGUAAAAUGUAGAGAUUGGAAAAUUGUUUUCUUGUAUUCCAUCUUCUGUACAUGUACAUACUGAUAUUUAUAAUACAAAAGGGAAUCAAAGAAAGAAUAAUCAUGAUACAAUUUCCUAUAAUA
Molecule: long non-coding RNA, 297 nt
Organism: Syzygium oleosum
Lineage: Eukaryota; Viridiplantae; Streptophyta; Magnoliopsida; Myrtales; Myrtaceae
Exons: 2
Source: RefSeq, a predicted model, not a curated record